This 432-nucleotide ribosomal RNA is filed under the name uncultured bacterium. Its description in RNAcentral is "bacterial SSU rRNA". It matches the Rfam family "Bacterial small subunit ribosomal RNA", at positions 123 to 589 of the family's 1533-position model. The record is from RNAcentral.
AACGUACCCUUUGGUUCGGAAUAACGCUGGGAAACUAGCGCUAAUACCGGAUACGCCCUUUUGGGGAAAGGCUUGCUGCCGAAGGAUCGGCCCGCGUCUGAUUAGCUAGUUGGUGGGGUAAUGGCCUACCAAGGCGACGAUCAGUAGCUGGUCUGAGAGGAUAAUCAGCCANACUGGGACUGAGACACGGCCCAGACUCCUACGGGAGGCAGCAGUGGGGAAUAUUGGACAAUGGGCGCAAGCCUGAUCCAGCCAUGCCGCGUGAGUGAUGAAGGCCUUAGGGUUGUAAAGCUCUUUUGUCCGGGACGAUAAUGACGGUACCGGAAGAAUAAGCCCCGGCUAACUUCGUGCCAGCAGCCGCGGUAAUACGAAGGGGGCUAGCGUUGCUCGGAAUCACUGGGCGUAAAGGGCGCGUAGGCGGCCAUUCAAGUC